Long non-coding RNA from Panicum virgatum (switchgrass), 721 nucleotides. RefSeq lists it as uncharacterized. The transcript is spliced from 4 exons. NCBI's taxonomy places the organism in Eukaryota, Viridiplantae, Streptophyta, Magnoliopsida, Poales, Poaceae. The record is from RefSeq and is a predicted model, not a curated record.
UAACCGUAAUGUCCAUAGUGUAACCGAGGUACAUUUCUGUUGUCUGCAUUAUUUAAAGGUUUCUUUUCGUUUGUUUUAGUGUGUACAAGGAUGCAUAUCAACUCUUUCAUGAGCUACUGUCAAUUGUGAACCUACAGCAUUUCAUUAUCUAUGAUUAUUGAAGCUUUUUCCUUGUAACUUUGUUUUUUUAUAAAACUCAAUUCGUGUCAGCCAUUUUUUUCCAUCUUUUUGAAGUUUCCUGCAUGCCCUUUCAGGUGACUAAAGGGGGAAGGCUCACCCUGACCCUUUGGUUCACUAGAAACCACAGUGACUGAAGCGGAAAGGCUCGCCCUGACUCUUUGGUUCACUAGAGACCACACUAAUAAUGAGAUGAAGAAAACCCGAUAGAGAUGUUUGGGAAGCAACUGCGGCCCGUGAGGGGAGAUGAUAUCUUUGAGAAAAUGUUUUCUAGCAGCCUGCAUGCUCUUCAGAUCCUUUGCUGGAAACGAGUAUAAUCAUUGGCUUACUGAAUAUGAGAAGGAUGUAAAGAGAAACCACAUGCUUGUUGUGCAUACGUCUAUAUUGAAUAAGAGCAAAGACUUUUUUGCAGUUCUAUGGUUCACUUUGGGGCUGAUUGGUUCGCUGCAUCUCGGCCAACCAAGCCCGCCGGAUGCAGGUAAGUCGUGAUUGGUUGCCUGGAGGGGGUACGUGGCCUGGCUCCGCUGGUGCGAGAGAACGGAAA